Nematostella vectensis (starlet sea anemone) is the source of this 4580-nucleotide RNA transcript. It is a transcript of the gene named nuclear receptor-binding protein-like, with no coding region annotated. The transcript is spliced from 4 exons. The record is from RefSeq and is a predicted model, not a curated record. Lineage: Eukaryota; Metazoa; Cnidaria; Anthozoa; Actiniaria; Edwardsiidae.
UUGACGGUAGACCCAGUCUUACGCGGGUUGACAGCAGAAUACCCGCCAUCUUGAAACUUCCGACGCCGUCAAAUAGCUCAAUCCAACAACCAUUUCAUUGCUUCAAAUUUCCGUGUCACCCAAAAGACUAUAGCCUGAAUCGAAAAGGAGGACAUGACCAGUUAUUUGACGAUUACAGAGACGGUUGUCGAACAUUCGGGAGACGAAAGUGAUGAUGAUGAAGAUGACGAUGUUGUUGAACAAAGUCCUUGCCGGCGAUGGGAGAAGAGACGACAGGAGGUAAUGCAGCGAGAUGUUCCUGGUAUUGACCAUGCUUACCUGGCAAUGGACACUGAGGAAGGUGUUGAGGUUGUCUGGAAUGAAGUGCAAUUUUCAGAAAGAAAGGAUUUCAAAAGUCAGGAAGAUGCUGCCGAGGUAGGUGAAGGUGUCCACCUCUUCCAGCGCCUCGCCUUGGACUGUGAUGGGUGUCUCGUUGGAUGCGUUUGUCUUGAACACCUUGCUCUUCCCUCUGUUGAUGUUGAGGCCGAGCCUGGCUGAGUUGUCCGCAACGAUGAUGGUCUUUUCCUGAUACCCGUGUUAAAGUGGUUUCACUUAAUGAUAAGUCGAAUAAAUCAUAAAAGACGACACUAUAUCAUUUAUUUUCAAUGUUUGUUUUAUCUUUAGGAUUUACUCUAAUUCAAACUCAUCUCACCCCAACCCCACCCCUUCACUACCCCCUGAAACCAACAACCCGCCCCUUAGUUUUGGAACAACUCUGUUCUCGUAGUUUACUAAGGCCGUUGGGGGACUUAAAUAAGCCGCUGUGCUCGUUCAGAGAGAAGAAAAAUAGGUGAGACCAACAUAAGUUUUGACCCCUAAGUUAUAGAAAAAGUGCGUAGUCUCUAGAUCCUUUUCCCCAAAGAAUAGCAUCAUCCACUAUAAGUGCGUAAAGGCUUUUGGCAGCGCAACAUGAUAAGUUGCCAGGAAAGAUGAACUCUUUCCAAAAUGACAAAGAAGUAGGCAUUAAGAAUAAGUAAUUAGGUACAGAGUUCCAAAAUGACAAAGAAGUAGACACUAAGAAGAAGUAAUUAGGUAGAGUUUCAUUCUCUUUGCCGAGGUUAUGAUCAGGUAGCAAAUGUCAGCAAAUGUAACAAAUGUCAGCAAGUUUUGAGGUCUACCUAGUGCGAUCUUUCUCAGAAAAAUACCUGUUCAAGCGGAGCAUAAGACUUGGAAGAUCUUUAAAAGGUAAUAUAUUGUUAUAGAUUAGACGAGGGAAGACACAAAAGUAAUAAAAAAACAUCUUCCGCGUAUCAUCUUCAAUGGCUAUGUUCAUUUUAGACUUCAUUGUACAUGUCUAAACAUCGAGCUCACAUUUUGAAAAAGCAACAAAAUAGUCAACAAUAAAAUUAAGUUAGAGUUGUUAUUAGGAUAUAAUGAUCCACCAGCCUGAUAAGGCGAUCACUUUAGACAGACAGACAGACGCAGACUAGUUUUGUUAUAGAAACAGCCUAUUUUUUUAAUAUUUGCCAUUAAUAGGAAACAGUCGUAUGUCAGUUUUGCAUUUAUCCCCUCUAUAUUAGCUGUAGGAUUUAUGAUCACAGUUUUACCCUGUUAAAUCCUUUGCAUUUGACUACGAAAUUUGAUUAAUUUAAUUCUUUCUUCAGCAUUUGUAUAAUUAUGUGGUUACUUAUUGUUAGUAGAGUUAGAGCAAUUCUUUGCUUUAUAGCAGGGUUAGCUAACAGGUAGGCUAACUGAUAGGCUUCUGAUUAUUAUUCUUAAACAAUUUUCAGUUUAUUGCGUUCGUUAGUAUAUUUCCUGUUGUCAUAAGAGCCGAGUAAGCUGAGCUAAUUUUGAAAUGUUUGUUAUACUUCACACAUUCCAUAUAAAUUACUGUUUUCAAAAGAGCCUGGUCAUCCUUUGGCAAUAAACGUGUCCAGUAUUUUAUGCUUCUGAACGAUUAGUCAAUUUGGAUAAAAAUUAAAGGUUUUGCGCUGAAAUCCCAAGUCCCCUUAACUCGGGCAGAUUCGUUGUGUAGCCAUUAAGUUGUGGAGUACGUGCGCACAGGGGGUUGAACUCAGCACAGUGUAACCAAACUGGAGUUUCAUACACCAGAGGGGUAAGCUUUGAAGGAGGCUAGAUAGUAUAGAGAAGGUGAAUCGAGGACAUAUUAAACAUUAGGGAAUUAGAUCCUGGUGUAAAAACGGCAUCUAUGCAGAGGUAAAGAAAACGGAACGGGUGGGGGAAGAAAGAGAAAUUGGUUAUCCAUAAGAAAAAGAAAGGGGCUGAUAUAAUAGACAUAAAAUUAUAUUGGAUGAAUUUAAUAUACAUCGACGAAUAAACGCAUCAGAGUUUUACAUAGCGAAUUCAUUACUUUCGUCGGUUGGUCAGCCAACCGCCGCGGAUACCGUCACCCCUCUGCCUCUACUCCUUGUAAUUGGAGGGGCCAAUGUUGUACGUGGAGCAUUCUCUUCCCUUCUGCCGGAAGUACUGUUGCCGAAGAGCGACAAGUGAUAUGCCUGGUAUAAGUCCGCGGGCUUCUGGAGGGGAUGAAUUUUAGGCGUCUGCACCACGGCCUACAGGAAACAUGCCUUCUCGUGCGAUUGGCCCCUAUCUACUCUCUCUAGGACCUCCGCUGCCUCGUGCGCCCUGUAUUAAUGGAAGCCUGUUUUGUCCCGCGACUACCAUAAACCGACAAUUGCGUUUUCAUUGUUUCUUGACCGGAACCGCCGCCAGCUCAAGCUUUGAUUCUUGGAAUAGGGUUGCAACAUCAUUCUGAGUAACACAAAAAGGAAAAUAAUUAUAAACAGAAAUGAGAGCAGAGCACAAUGGGCACACAAAACACUCUACACUAUAAAGCGUGACAGGAAUUAACCACGGUUCGGCCAUUAAUCACCUCCUAGGCUGUGUAUCCACUUUCAUUUCCACUGCUAGCUGGGCUGAGAUAUAAUCUCCGGCUCGGCCAUGUCACUCAGGCAGCAACUUCAGCCAAGUGGGUAAUGUGUUCAUCGACGUCGACGUUGACGUCGCUGCGGUAAGAAUUGGUAGGAUUCCUACUGCCCAUAUAUGGGCACCGGAAGAGAAGAAAUAUUUUUAUAGGUUGCUGGUGGGUACGCUAAUUCUUUUUUUCAUUCAGGCAAUGUUAAAAUUUAUUCAAACGAUUAUUCUGAAUUUUAGAGGAUGUCGUUCCUCAAAAAUAUUGUUUAGUGAAACACCUAGCGAAAAAGUCAACCAGUCAUUUUGUUCAGUUGUUAUAGCAAGAAUAGCAAGUGUUAUAUAAAUAAUAUUUAUGCUGGUCAUUUUUGUAUUAAAAAGUAUGAGACUGGUGGACGCCACCUGAAUGUGUAAAGUGGUAUCCUUUUCUAGUACAGAUAAAGGGCGGCCGCUUGAACAAUGCUAUUUUAUGUUAAACAAGAGUGUUUCAAACGAAAAUAAGAUAAUACUGGACGAAAUAAGGAAUUUAAAUACAUUCAAGACAAAUACAAGAUGUUACUUAAAUUAAAUAGUAUUUCUAAGUUACAUUUAAGUGGGGCACUUAUAGUCAGUAUCAUUUUUAAGUAGAAAUAAGCUUUAAUUUCAUUAUACUAGUUGGACAUUAUACUAGUUGGACUAGCAGUGGUUUGAGUUUCUAAACAUCACAUUUUUUUAGGCAAAUGUCAGGAGGCAUUCGGGAUUUUCUGUUUCCUUUAACCAAGUGUUUUGUACUUGUGGGAUAGAGAAAAACGAUGCUAAAUUGUUAUUCGCAUUAUUAUAGGAUAACUUAGCAAGGGAGUAGCCAGGGGGGGGGGUGUCCCCCCUUCUAGCAGCCAGAAAUGCGGUAAAUGUAAAAUACAGGAGAAAAUUUCUUGAAAGGACCUUUUGGGCCCCUCCCUGUUAAAAACCCUGGCUACGCCGCUGCUUAGCCUAAGCAAUAAUAAUACAGCUUCAGGUGAGACCGAGAGGAAGUCAGUCAUUUGCGAGAGGAAGUGACGCGCAAGCGUAUCUAUUGUUUUCACGUGACUAUCACGGCGGGCUUUUCGCAUACCAGAGCGUGUUUAGAUGUGGGACUUUGUUCGACGUUUGCAUCUAACCUCUCAAAAGAUGCGCUAUUUCUUUCAAUCACAUCAAAUCAGAUGGCAAAUCUAAUAAUGAAAACAUUUUGAUCAAAUUGCUUUAAUUUUGAAGAGAUAACAGAGCGUUAAAAGUGAAAACCCAGCGACUGCAUGAGAACUCAACAGUAAGAAUGAAGACAAAGCUAGCUGAAAUUGUAGCCGAAAGAGAGCAUCAGGGCUUUCAGACACAGCAGUAAUAUGAUGCACUGGAUGCUACGGGCUGGUCAAGGAGCAAAGAAGAAGAAGAUACAGUAGUUUGCCAUAUGAUUGACUACCUUUUUUUGUAAUUGCUAAAAGGUUAUUUGGGAAUGUUUUGUAUGUGCUAAUGUUUACUGUAGGACAAGCAGGCAUCCCUCUUGAAAAAAAGCAUUUCCAUCAAACACGGGCUAGUCUUUUCUUAUUCUUAGAGUUUCAUUGAUCUAAAUAAUUGGAUUAUAUGAUAUCCUAUAGAUAGAGAUAGCUCAGUGAAUUUGAUUGUACAUUUAAAGUUAAAUAAAGUGUGUAUUUAUUGUA